Molecule: transfer RNA, 77 nt
Filed under: Acidaminobacter hydrogenoformans DSM 2784
Lineage: Bacteria; Bacillati; Bacillota; Clostridia; Peptostreptococcales; Acidaminobacteraceae
Also listed under: 2 other names
Description: tRNA_Pro_TGG
Rfam family: tRNA
About the family: Transfer RNA (tRNA) molecules are approximately 80 nucleotides in length. Their secondary structure includes four short double-helical elements and three loops (D, anti-codon, and T loops).
Source: RNAcentral
CGGGGUGUAGCGCAGCUUGGUAGCGCAUCUGAUUUGGGAUCAGAGGGUCGCGGGUUCAAAUCCUGCCGCCCCGACCA